RNAcentral lists this ribosomal RNA (498 nucleotides) under uncultured bacterium. RNAcentral describes it as "partial 16S ribosomal RNA". It matches the Rfam family "Bacterial small subunit ribosomal RNA", at positions 28 to 507 of the family's 1533-position model. The record is from RNAcentral.
GACGAACGCUGGCGGCGUGCCUAAUACAUGCAAGUCGAACGAGAGCGUCCGGUGCUUGCACUGGUCAAUCUAGUGGCGAACGGGUGAGUAACACGUGGGUAACCUGCCCAUCAGAGGGGGAUAACAUCCGGAAACGGAUGCUAAAACCGCAUAGGUCUUCGAGCCGCAUGGCUUGAAGAGGAAAAGAGGCGCAAGCUUCUGCUGAUGGAUGGACCCGCGGUGCAUUAGCUAGUUGGUGAGGUAACGGCUCACCAAGGCCGUGAUGCAUAGCCGACCUGAGAGGGUGAUCGGCCACAUUGGGACUGAGACACGGCCCAAACUCCUACGGGAGGCAGCAGUAGGGAAUCUUCCGCAAUGGACGCAAGUCUGACGGAGCAACGCCGCGUGAGUGAAGAAGGUUUUCGGAUCGUAAAACUCUGUUGUUAGGGAAGAACAAGUGCUAGAGUAACUGUUAGCGCCUUGACGGUAUCUAACCAGAAAGCCACGGCUAACUACGUG